AACUAAAAUCUGUGAGCUAACCCACCUCUGCCUUCAUACUGAGUAACAGAGGACAGUUGGGCGUGCUAAUGCAGAACCUCACCAAGUUCAAACUCUACGGAAUAUCAGGGAAAUGCAGAGGAAGUUCACACGUUCAAUGCAGUGGACGCAACUGACAUGAAGUGGACUGGCGUCCCAUCCAGGAUGUACUAUCGCACACUCUAUACUUCUGGAAUAGAGUCCAGACCACUGUGACCCUGAACUGGACAAGCAGACAUUGACAAUGAAUGACGGAGUGUCUCAAAUAAAAUUGGACCAGAUCACAUGUACAAUAUUCACACAUUCCCCACUUUAUCUGUACAGUUUCUGUUCCACUCAGAUACAUCAUCCAGGAUUUCAAGGUCAUUUCUGCCCGAGGAGAGCAGUACCUGUCAGACAUUCAUUUGCACCAUUCACCUCGGCACCGAGCUCUGCCUUCUCCUUAACUACAGCCCCAGGGUCCAGCAGGAGCUAGCAUUAUUCAACCAUGGCAAAGUAAUAUUGUUUGCAUGGAAAACUGGAAUUAUUAAAGUCAGAAGGUCAUUGCGAGGACAAGUCCUUCUGCAGGAGUUCUGGAGUCUUCUUUCUUUUCCAUUAUGUGGUAAA
This is a long non-coding RNA of Scleropages formosus (Asian bonytongue), 624 nucleotides long. RefSeq lists it as uncharacterized. The record is from RefSeq and is a predicted model, not a curated record. The transcript is spliced from 3 exons. Lineage: Eukaryota; Metazoa; Chordata; Actinopteri; Osteoglossiformes; Osteoglossidae.